AUGGUCAGGUCCGGGUGCAAGAGAACGUCGCCCUCUCACGGCGAAAACAGGGGUUCGAGUCCCCUUGGGAGCGCCA
Molecule: transfer RNA, 76 nt
Filed under: Methylopila capsulata
Lineage: Bacteria; Pseudomonadati; Pseudomonadota; Alphaproteobacteria; Hyphomicrobiales; Methylopilaceae
Description: tRNA-Glu
Rfam family: tRNA
About the family: Transfer RNA (tRNA) molecules are approximately 80 nucleotides in length. Their secondary structure includes four short double-helical elements and three loops (D, anti-codon, and T loops). Further hydrogen bonds mediate the characteristic L-shaped molecular structure. tRNAs have two regions of fundamental functional importance: the anti-codon, which is responsible for specific mRNA codon recognition, and the 3' end, to which the tRNAs corresponding amino acid is attached (by aminoacyl-tRNA synthetases). tRNAs cope with the degeneracy of the genetic code in two manners: having more than one tRNA (with a specific anti-codon) for a particular amino acid; and 'wobble' base-pairing, i.e. permitting non-standard base-pairing at the 3rd anti-codon position.
Source: RNAcentral